This 497-nucleotide ribosomal RNA is filed under the name uncultured bacterium. Its description in RNAcentral is "partial 16S ribosomal RNA". It matches the Rfam family "Bacterial small subunit ribosomal RNA", at positions 28 to 507 of the family's 1533-position model. The record is from RNAcentral.
GAUGAACGCUGGCGGCGUGCCUAAUACAUGCAAGUCGAGCGAACGGACGCGAAGCUUGCUUCUCUGAUGUUAGCGGCGGACGGGUGAGUAACACGUGGAUAACCUACCUAUAAGACUGGGAUAACUUCGGGAAACCGGCGCUAAUCCCGGAUAAUAUUUUGAACCGCAUGGUUCAAAAGUGAAAGACGGUCUUGCUGUCACUUAUAGAUGGAUCUGGGCUGCAUUAGCUAGUUGGUAAGGUAACGGCUUACCAAGGCAACGAUGCAUAGCCGACCUGAGAGGGUGAUCGGCCACACUGGAACUGAGACACGGACCAGGCUCCUGCGGGAGGCAGCAGAAGGGAAUCGGCCGCAAUGGGCGAAAGCCUGACGGAGCAACGCCGCGUGAGUUAUAAAGGUCUUCGGAUCGUAAUACUCUGUUAUGAGGGAAGAACAUAUGUGUAAGGAACUGUGCACAUCUUGACGGUACCUAGUCAGAAAGCCACGGCUAACUACGUG